RNAcentral lists this ribosomal RNA (449 nucleotides) under uncultured bacterium. RNAcentral describes it as "partial 16S ribosomal RNA". It matches the Rfam family "Bacterial small subunit ribosomal RNA", at positions 30 to 523 of the family's 1533-position model. The record is from RNAcentral.
AUUGAACGCUGGCGGCAUGCCUAACACAUGCAAGUCGAACGAGACCUUCGGGUCUAGUGGCGCACGGGUGCGUAACGCGUGGGAAUCUGCCCUCUGGUACGGAAUAACUCAGGGAAACUUGAGCUAGUACCGUAUAAUGACUUCGGUCCAAAGAUUUAUCGCCUGAGGAUGAGCCCGCGUCGGAUUAGCUAGUUGGUGAGGUAAAAGCUCACCAAGGCGACGAUCCGUAGCUGGUCUGAGAGGAUGAUCAGCCACACUGGGACUGAGACACGGCCCAGACUCCUACGGGAGGCAGCAGUGGGGAAUAUUGGACAAUGGGCGAAAGCCUGAUCCAGCAAUGCCGCGUGAGUGAUGAAGGCCUUAGGGUUGUAAAGCUCUUUUACCCGGGAUGAUAAUGACAGUACCGGGAGAAUAAGCCCCGGCUAACUCCGUGCCAGCAGCCGCGGUAA